AGAGUUUGAUCCUGGCUCAGAACGAACGCUGGUAGCGUGGAUUAGGCAUGCAAGUCGGACGGGAUCGGGAGGAUAGCAAUAUUCUCCGUGAGAGUGGCGGACUGGGGAGGAACACGUGAGCAACUGCCCGCAGGACGGGGAAAACCGUUGGAAACGACGGCUAAUACCGGAUGCGGCGCCUUGGGGACAUCCCUAGGGCGCCAAAGGGGGCCCAAAAGGCUCCCGCCCGCGGAGAGGCUCGCGCACCAUCAGCUUGUUGGCGGGGUAACGGCCCACCAAGGCUUACGGUUAGCUGGUCUGAGAGGAUGACCAGCCCCACUGGGACUGAGACACUGCCCAGACUCCUACGGGAGGCUGCAGUCGAGGAUCAUUUGCAAUGGGCGAAAGCCUGACAAUGCGACGCUGCGUGGAGGAUGAAGGCCUUCGGGUUGUAAACUCCUGUCAUGGGGGAACAGGCGAGGAUACCCAACACGUAUCUUAGUUGAGUGUACCCCAAGAGGAAGGGACGGCUAACUCUGUGCCAGCCGCAGC
Molecule: ribosomal RNA, 531 nt
Filed under: uncultured bacterium
Lineage: Bacteria
Description: bacterial SSU rRNA
Rfam family: Bacterial small subunit ribosomal RNA
Source: RNAcentral